GACGAACGCUGGCGGCGUGCUUAACACAUGCAAGUCGAGCGGUAAGGCCCUUUCGGGGGUACACGAGCGGCGAACGGGUGAGUAACACGUGGGUGACCUGCCCUCAGCUCUGGGAUAAGCCCGGGAAACUGGGUCUAAUACCGGAUAUGACUCCAUGACGCAUGUUGUGGGGUGGAAANCCUUGUGCGGCUGAGGAUGGGCCCGCGGCCUAUCAGCUUGUUGGUGGGGUGAUGGCCACCAAGGCGACGACGGGUAGCCGGCCUGAGAGGGCGACCGGCCACACUGGGACUGAGACACGGCCCAGACUCCUACGGGAGGCAGCAGUGGGGAAUCUUGCGCAAUGGGCGAAAGCCUGACGCAGCGACGCCGCGUGA
RNAcentral lists this ribosomal RNA (374 nucleotides) under uncultured bacterium. RNAcentral's name for it is "bacterial SSU rRNA". It matches the Rfam family "Bacterial small subunit ribosomal RNA", at positions 28 to 404 of the family's 1533-position model. The record is from RNAcentral.